Molecule: ribosomal RNA, 495 nt
Filed under: uncultured bacterium
Lineage: Bacteria
Description: partial 16S ribosomal RNA
Rfam family: Bacterial small subunit ribosomal RNA
Source: RNAcentral
GACGAACGCUGGCGGCGUGCCUAAUACAUGCAAGUAGAACGCUGAAGGAGGAGCUUGCUUCUCUGGAUGAGUUGCGAACGGGUGAGUAACGCGUAGGUAACCUGCCUGGUAGCGGGGGAUAACUAUUGGAAACGAUAGCUAAUACCGCAUAAGAGUAGAUGUUGCAUGACAUUUGCUUAAAAGGUGCAAUUGCAUCACUACCAGAUGGACCUGCGUUGUAUUAGCUAGUUGGUGGGGUAACGGCUCACUAAGGCGACGAUACAUAGCCGACCUGAGAGGGGGGUCGGCCACACUGGGACUGAGACACGGCCCAGACUCCUACGGGAGGGAGCAGUAGGGAAUCUUCGGCAAAGGACGGAAGUCUGAUCGAGCAACGCCGCGUGAGUGAAGAAGGUUUUCGGAUCGGAAAGCUCGGUUGUAAGAGAAGAACGAGUGUGAGAGUGGAAAGUUCACACUGUGACGGUAUCUUACCAGAAAGGGACGGCUAACUACGUG